GACGAACGCUGGCGGCGUGCUUAACACAUGCAAGUCGAACGAAGAGCGAUGGAAGCUUGCUUCUAUCAAUCUUAGUGGCGAACGGGUGAGUAACGCGUAAUCAACCUGCCCUUCAGAGGGGGACAACAGUUGGACACGACUGCUAAUACCGCAUCCGAUCUAAUCUCGGCAUCGAGGAUAGAUGAAAGGUGGCCCCUACAUGUAAGCAUUCACUGACGGAGGGGUUUGCGUCUGAUUAGCUAGUUGGGGGGGUAACGGCCCACCAAGGCGAUGAUCAGUAGCCGGUCUGAGGAGAUGAACGGCCACAUUGGGACUGGGACACGGCCCAGACUCCUACGGGAGGCAGCAGUGGGGGAUCUUCCGCAAUGGACGAAAGUCUGACGGAGCAACGCCGCGUGAGCGAUGACGGCCUUCGGGUUGUAAAGCUCUGUUAAUCGGGACGAAAGGCCUUCUUGCGAAUAGUUGGAAGGAUUGACGGUACCGGAAUAGAAAGCCACGGCUAACUACGUG
This 510-nucleotide ribosomal RNA is filed under the name uncultured bacterium. RNAcentral describes it as "partial 16S ribosomal RNA". It matches the Rfam family "Bacterial small subunit ribosomal RNA", at positions 28 to 507 of the family's 1533-position model. The record is from RNAcentral.